Molecule: long non-coding RNA, 1178 nt
Organism: Felis catus (domestic cat)
Lineage: Eukaryota; Metazoa; Chordata; Mammalia; Carnivora; Felidae
Exons: 2
Source: RefSeq, a predicted model, not a curated record
ACGCAGCUUCUGCGUAAAGAGAGACGGGUUCGUGCCCACAGCUUUGACUCCCUCAGGCCUGUGCCUAGGUGCCGUGUGCCAACCGGGGAGCAGUCUUUCUACUCCUGGCUGUCCCUAAGUGAGUCAGGGAGUGGGUGUCACAGAGCUCUUUCCAGGUAUCCUGGCCUGAAGGAGGUGCCCCGGGAGGACAGGGGCACAGAAGAUCAGAGUGGUAUUUUUCUCCUGUGAGCAUCUGCACAGGUAGUUACAGAGCUGGUGGCACUCAGUGCCGGCCAGGGCUCGCUGGCUGGAUCGCCAUCAGGAAGAGAGGCCUGUGUGCUCCAAACCACAAGAUGUGCGUUUCUGACUCCUGACAGCAGCACCGUUUAAUUGAUCUCCUCUUGUGUCCUCGAUUCUCACCUCUUUCCCCGCCCCCACCCCCACCUUUGCCUCCCUCCGCUCCUUGUUGGGGUGAUUUGAAAAAAAACAUUCCAGAAAAUGGCAAGAGGCCUCUCACAAGGGGAGAGAGAAUUAAGCCAAAUUAAUUCCAGCACAAUAAGAGGAAUUAGGCUUAAUUUAAACAGGUAACAGAAAAGAACAGAGCCGGUCUCUUCCCUUUCCCGGCAACAAGCCUGCAUCAGCUGUUUUUUGCCAAAAGGCUGGGCAACAUGGCUGCCUUGGUUGCGAAGGGCCCUUCUCCCGCCGGCUCUGCAACCCCCACGUUCUCCCCGACUGGGAUUACGGUUUGCAAGUCACUGACCAUGGUUGAAUUUUAUCAUUAUUAAGGUUCAGUGCUAACCUCCUCCCCUUAUUUCCUUCCCAUUUAAAGUUUCAGGGAUAAUAAAUUCUUUUGAUUUAGCAAUUAUUGGAGUACAGAAUUAGUCAAACGCGGGCUUUGAGAACAAAGUAGAACAGGGGUUGGGUGGGCUUUGCAGAGAUGCCGCAAAUACAGGCUGGCUGCGGCAAGAUCGGGGGAAAUGGCGUUGUGUUAAGUCUGAAAUUGGAUGGGUUUUAAUUUAGGAGCGUGGCUCCAACACUCACCUCUCUGAGCAGAAAAAUAGUUAUGUUUGUGGGUGACAUAUUCCUAAAGUACAUUGUGCUAAAGCACCGUGCUGAAAUACAUUAUAUUGACUUGUCUGGGGCUGUGCUUUUCCGAGUACAACAUUGAGUUGGCUAGCAAUAAAAAUAAAUAAGAAUUA